This 364-nucleotide long non-coding RNA is filed under the name Mus caroli (Ryukyu mouse). Its description in RNAcentral is "lncRNA (MGP_CAROLIEiJ_G0013516.1)". Lineage: Eukaryota; Metazoa; Chordata; Mammalia; Rodentia; Muridae. The record is from RNAcentral.
CAAGGAGGAUUCAUGGUAAAGUUUCUGUCACAUACCCACACCAGAGCAUGUCAGUCUUUUUGAGGACUGAACAGAGUCUCCAUAGCAGACAGGACAUUAAAUUUGGUGACCGUACUAUGAAAAUAUGCAAAGGUGUUAUUCAUGACUGCAUAGAUCCCAGAGGAACACCAGGGAAUAUUUAGGAGGUCUCACAAAUACUCACCUAAGGGAAGUCAGAACACCCUCUCUCAACCACAGCAUGGCAGAUAGCAAAGCCAGACCAAGCUCCAACACACUGAUGAUCAGCAUCACUGAAAGGGCUCCCUAAAUUCAGGAGACGAGAGAGUGGGUGAAGAGGACAAACUAAAUCAACAAAGCUGGUUUC